RNAcentral lists this ribosomal RNA (404 nucleotides) under Fusobacteriota bacterium. RNAcentral's name for it is "Fusobacteria bacterium partial 16S ribosomal RNA". It matches the Rfam family "Bacterial small subunit ribosomal RNA", at positions 355 to 776 of the family's 1533-position model. The record is from RNAcentral. Lineage: Bacteria; Fusobacteriati; Fusobacteriota.
UGGGGAAUAUUGCACAAUGGAGGGAACUCUGAUGCAGCGACGCCGCGUGAGUGAUGAAGGAAUUCGUUUCGUAAAACUCUGUUCUAUGGGAAGAAAAGGACUGUACCAUAGGAGAAAGCUCCGGCUAAAUACGUGCCAGCAGCCGCGGUAAUACGUAUGGAGCGAGCGUUGUUCGGAAUUAUUGGGCGUAAAGGGUGCGCAGGCGGCUUUACAAGUUGGAUGUGAAAUAUUGUGGCUCAACCACAAACGUGCAUCCAAAACUGCAAAAGUUGAGUUAAGGAGAGGUAAGUGGAAUUCCUGGUGUAGCGGUGGAAUGCGUAGAUAUCAGGAGGAAUACCGGUGGCGAAGGCGACUUACUGGACUUAAACUGACGCUCAGGCACGAAAGCGUGGGGAGCAAACAGG